Molecule: long non-coding RNA, 351 nt
Organism: Hippocampus comes (tiger tail seahorse)
Lineage: Eukaryota; Metazoa; Chordata; Actinopteri; Syngnathiformes; Syngnathidae
Exons: 2
Source: RefSeq, a predicted model, not a curated record
CCCGACUGUUUUUUUUUUUCCAGUUCCUCCUCCUGUCACUCGCGCACCGCCACCCUCCGUUGUCUCUUCCCCGCAGGCGAGCGAAGGGAAGGUGAGGUCGUCGCUGAUUGGCUGCCCGCGGCUAAGAGAGCUGACUGCUGAUUGGCUGAAAGUGCAGGAAAGGCAGUUAAAGGACACGCCUCCUCCCUCGCUGUGAAUAUUUUUUUGUAUUUAUAUAUUUAAUUCAUGACAUUUUUAAAUGAUUGUGGGGAGGUAUUUUAUCUAACAAAAUAAAAUAUGAGUUUCGAAGAAAGCAGAUUUUUUAAUGUCGACAAAAAGUUUUGUAAUUACCAAUAAAUGAACUGUACAUUU